UUUUUUUUUUUUUAACACAAAAAGUUGUGCACGCCGGAGUUGUGUCCCUCUCACAUAAAAUCCAUCUCACCCUUUUGUGCACCACCGCGUGGGCACCCUUCGGGGUCAAGCUGAUCCAGGAGGGGGCUUGCGUUUUCACACAAACCCCUUUUUAAAAGUGUAGAAUGUCCCCAUUUUUGCGAUAACGCGAAAUCAAUACAACUUUCAACAACGGAUCUCUUGGCUCUCGCAUCGAUGAAGAACGCAGCGAAAUGCGAUACGUAAUGUGAAUUGCAGAAUUCAGUGAAUCAUAGAAUCUUUGAACGCACCUUGCGCCCCUUGGUAUUCCGAGGGGCACACCCGUUUGAGUGUCGUGAAAAUCUCAACCUCCUUGGUUUCUUCUGGACACCAAAGGAGGCUUGGACUUUGGAGGCCCUUUGCUGGUGUUUCUCUUUUUUGAAAGCCCAGCUCCUCUUAAAUGAAUUAGCGGGGUCCUCUUUGCCGAUCCUCGACAUGUGAUAAGAUGUUUCCAUGUCUCGGUUUCUGGCUCUGUUGCUUUUGGGACCCGCUUCUAACCGUCUCAACCUUGCGUCGAGACAAUGCUUGGGCGUGUCUCCCUUCUCGGGAAACACUCUCAACCCCACGAACCCUUGACCUCAAAUCGGGUGAGACUACCCGCUGAACUUAAGCAUAUCAAUAAGCGGAGGAAAAGAAACUAACAAGGAUUCCCCUAGUAACU
RNAcentral lists this small RNA (718 nucleotides) under Lactarius sp. g3-2-1. RNAcentral's name for it is "eukaryotic LSU rRNA". The stretch from base 200 to 353 matches the Rfam family "5.8S ribosomal RNA". The record is from RNAcentral. Lineage: Eukaryota; Fungi; Basidiomycota; Agaricomycetes; Russulales; Russulaceae.